GUAGGGAAUAUUGCACAAUGGGGGAAACCCUGAUGCAGCGACGCCGCGUGAGUGAUGAAGGCCUUCGGGUCGUAAAGCUCUGUCGUAUGGGACUAACACAAUGAAGGUACCAUGCAAGAAAGGAUCGGCUAACUUCGUGCCAGCAGCCGCGGUAAGACGAGGGAUCCUAGCGUUGUUCGGAAUCAUUGGGCGUAAAGCGGGUGUAGGCGGAUUUAUAAGUCAGGUGUGAAAUCCCAGGGCUCAACCCUGGAAGUGCACUUGAUACUGUAAAUCUUGAGUGUGGUAGAGGUUACUGGAAUUGUUGGUGUAGUGGUGAAAUACGUAGAUAUCAACAGGAAUACCGGAGGCGAAGGCGAGUAACUGGGCCAACACUGACGCUGAGACCCGAAAGCGUGGGGAUCAAGCAGGAUUAGAUACCCGAGUAGUCC
RNAcentral lists this ribosomal RNA (428 nucleotides) under uncultured bacterium. RNAcentral describes it as "bacterial SSU rRNA". It matches the Rfam family "Bacterial small subunit ribosomal RNA", at positions 354 to 796 of the family's 1533-position model. The record is from RNAcentral.